Molecule: ribosomal RNA, 402 nt
Filed under: Procladius sp. NTKam17.6
Lineage: Eukaryota; Metazoa; Arthropoda; Insecta; Diptera; Chironomidae
Description: partial large subunit ribosomal RNA
Rfam family: Eukaryotic large subunit ribosomal RNA
Source: RNAcentral
UUCAAUACUUGAUUUAUCAAGUGUGCACUUCUCUUUUAGUAAGACGUUGUGAUCCAUUAGAAAUUGAUUGUCCCCUCUGGUUUGACAAUCAUUGGGCUACCAAUAGUCUGAUAUUGAAGUUCACAAUGACAAACAAUGCAGUCAUUUCUAACGAUUGUAUAUAUUGUCUUGUGAGCAUGUCAUGUACUGGUGUAGCCGUCUGAUGGAUUUUAAAGGUCGCAACAUUAAUAUCCUUGUGGUAUUACGACAUUCUAUGGCGUAUUCGUUGUGUACCCGAUCAACAACGGUUUCAUUUGGGAUACCUUUGGGACCCGUCUUGAAACACGGACCAAGGAGUCUAUCUAGUAUGCAAGUAAAUGGGAAUAUUGUAAACCUAUUUGCGUAAAUAACUUGACUGUUUUU